CUUCGCUGUAGGUUGUAAACAGAAUUAUUAGGUUAUAUUUAGCCUUAUAAACAACACCCAUGAUCAACCAAUCCCCAUCUCCCAUUGUAGCACUUUAUUAACGUUCUCUUAGUAAUGUCUCAUUUAUUCAGACUAAUUGCGUGUCGGGUUUUUUUUUAUUUUUUUUGUCUUCCGUUUUCUAAAAGUUUACAUAUUGAUUUGCCUGUUUGGUGUUGAAGAGGUAUAUAAUACGAUAGGACCAAUUUCUCUAAAAUGACUUGAAUGACUCUUUUACCUACGGUGUAUUGUAAUUACUUAAUAAAAACGCCCCAAGGUCACCCAGUGACUUUACCCACAACCCCCUUUAUUUAUUUACACCAUAUCCACGUAAAGCGUUUUCCAUUAAGACCCGUUAGAGAGGGUUUACCGGGGCAGCGCUGCCCGGCAGCAGACCUUCUAUCCUCACUGUCGACUAUGAUGAGGAACAGGUCUAACAGAGGUCUGUCCAUCCGUGCAGAGAUGCCGUUGUCUUUGAUAGUGGUACCGCGGUAGUCUAACUGGUGUGGGUCCCUCUAGGAGCAACACGUCCACUCCAAUGAAGUAUCUGUCGCUAGAGAAUCACACCUUGACAAGCCAUUGAGUCUAGACAUUACCGCACAGCCCAAUUACCCUCUAAAAUGACCGCACGGUACGGAUCAAUAACGAACAGCAUUGAAUCAGAAUCGAAUGAAUCAAAUGGAUGCUAUUGACAUUGUUUACAACAUUUCGUUUUUUAUUUUUUUAUUAUACAAUCUCACCAAAACGACAUAAUUAGUUAGAUCUAUUAGCGAAUAACGCGCUAGAAAAAUAAACAACCAUUCAAUAAUAUCGAGUCUCUCGGAUGAUUCUUCUUCUGGAGAUAUUACAGAUGCAUGAAUGAAUGCGUUUAACAACUUAACCGGUGGGGCGGAAAUGAGAAGAGCACCUGGUAGUGUGUUCAGACAGACGGUCAGGUGCAGAGUACAUCCGGACCCACAGCGCCGCUUAGUGGAGAAGUUUAGGGAACUGCAGACGAGGUUGUGGAAGCUGGUUAGUUUCUAUAGCAACCUUCCAGACUGUUCUCUUCUGAGGGGGGGGAGAGAGAGAGAUGUUAUUGUCUGAUGUUAAAUAGAACUAGAGGACGGAAGGAUUGACUGACGACCUGAUUUGACAGGUGUUUUCUUUGUACCCGAUUCAUGCUGCUGCACAGCACUGACUUUGAGUUAUGUAGAAAUAUAAUUUAAAUCAUAAGGAAAAUGAUUUGGGCAGCUAUUUUCACGUACUGGGAUGAAUGGUUAUAUAUGGUGUAGUCUAGACAGGCAGAGAAAUGAGAGACAGACAGAGACCUAAUACUGCAGGUAGAAAUGUAUUGAUAUCAGAAUCAAUAGAAAC
This 1389-nucleotide long non-coding RNA is filed under the name Salmo salar (Atlantic salmon). RNAcentral describes it as "lncRNA (ENSSSAG00000097977.1)". Lineage: Eukaryota; Metazoa; Chordata; Actinopteri; Salmoniformes; Salmonidae. The record is from RNAcentral.